GGUUCUUGUUAGUGGCAGACGGGUGAGUAUGCGUAGGAAUCUACCUAGUAGUAUGGAAUAGCCAUUAGAAAUGAUGGGUAAUACUGUAUAAUCCCUGCGGGGGAAAGAUUUAUCGCUAUUAGAUGAGCCUACGUUAGAUUAGCUAGUUGGUAAGGUAAUGGCUUACCAAGGCUAUGAUCUAUAGCUGGUCUGAGAGGACGAUCAGCCACACUGGAACUGAGAUACGGUCCAGACUCCUACGGGAGGCAGCAGUGGGGAAUAUUGGACAAUGGGCGAAAGCCUGAUCCAGCUAUGCCGCGUGAGUGAAGAAGGCCUUCGGGUUGUAAAACUCUUUCAAUAGGGAAGAUAAUGACGGUACCUAUAA
Molecule: ribosomal RNA, 364 nt
Filed under: uncultured Ehrlichia sp.
Lineage: Bacteria; Pseudomonadati; Pseudomonadota; Alphaproteobacteria; Rickettsiales; Anaplasmataceae
Description: bacterial SSU rRNA
Rfam family: Bacterial small subunit ribosomal RNA
Source: RNAcentral